This 73-nucleotide transfer RNA is filed under the name Deinococcus deserti VCD115. It matches the Rfam family "tRNA". From Rfam's summary of the family: Transfer RNA (tRNA) molecules are approximately 80 nucleotides in length. Their secondary structure includes four short double-helical elements and three loops (D, anti-codon, and T loops). Further hydrogen bonds mediate the characteristic L-shaped molecular structure. tRNAs have two regions of fundamental functional importance: the anti-codon, which is responsible for specific mRNA codon recognition, and the 3' end, to which the tRNAs corresponding amino acid is attached (by aminoacyl-tRNA synthetases). tRNAs cope with the degeneracy of the genetic code in two manners: having more than one tRNA (with a specific anti-codon) for a particular amino acid; and 'wobble' base-pairing, i.e. permitting non-standard base-pairing at the 3rd anti-codon position. The record is from Rfam by way of RNAcentral. Lineage: Bacteria; Thermotogati; Deinococcota; Deinococci; Deinococcales; Deinococcaceae.
GGGUCCUUAGCUCAGUUGGUAGAGCGGCGGUCUCCAAAACCGUAGGUCGUAGGUUCAAGUCCUGCAGGGCCCG